UGCGCUUACAAUCCGUCAGAGCCUUCGACUUUGUCGUGGGGUGAUGGCGUGCCUUUUGAAGAAUGAGCCUGCGAGUCAGGGACAUGUCGCGAGGUUAACCCGUGUGGGGUAGCCGCAGCGAAAGCGAGUCUGAAUAGGGGUAUCCGCACAGUAGUGUGUGGUGUAGUGGUGUGUUCUGGACCCGAAGCGGAGUGAUCUACCCAUGGCCAGGGUGAAGCGCGGGUAAGACCGCGUGGAGG
This 239-nucleotide ribosomal RNA is filed under the name Mycolicibacterium fortuitum subsp. fortuitum DSM 46621 = ATCC 6841 = JCM 6387. RNAcentral describes it as "Mycolicibacterium fortuitum subsp. fortuitum DSM 46621 = ATCC 6841 partial 23S ribosomal RNA". It matches the Rfam family "Bacterial large subunit ribosomal RNA", at positions 559 to 772 of the family's 2925-position model. The record is from RNAcentral. Lineage: Bacteria; Bacillati; Actinomycetota; Actinomycetes; Mycobacteriales; Mycobacteriaceae.